UUUCCACAGGUUGAGAUUGUGGUACCAAAACGAUCUUCCUAUUUAACCACCAAAAUAUGAAAGUAUUAUCUCGCCCUUUAUAAGUGGCAUCAACAUCAUAGUGCCAUGGACGACCCAAUAAAAUGUGACAAUCAUCCAUAUCCACAACAUCACAUAUAAUUUCAUCCUUGUAAUAUUUUCCAAUUGACAAAGAAACCUUACAAAUCUCUAAAACUUGAACUUCCGGGCCCCUUUUAAUCCAUGCAAUCUUGUAUGGCGAAGGGUGUCUCUCGGUCUUCAGAUUUAGAGCCUUUACCACUGCUUUCGAAAUGACAUUCUCACUGCUACCGCUGUCCAUGAUCACAUUGCAUACCUUAUUACGAACAGUGCAUCGAGUCCUGAAGAUCUUGUGUCGUUGCAAGGUAUCUAGCCUUUUUGGAGCAAGCAAAAGGCGUUGGAUGAUGCAUGCCAAUUCUUCCCCUGUAUCUACAUUUGCAACAUCACCACCUUCAUAAUCAUUGUCUUCAAGAUUUUGCUCUUCCCCACUGUCGUCUUCUUCUGCAAAGUUAAUAGAUCGUCUGUCUGGACAGCUAUUUGAAAGAUAACCUGGUUGAUUGCACCGGAAGCACUUUCCCAGAUUAGGACAUGCAUAAGGGUCAUUAUUGGCUCGUGACUGUAUCUGAUUUCUGCCUUGGGUGUUAGAUCGAACAGGAGCAGAAGUUCCUCUUUGAUUUUGUGUUGAAUUUUGGACUGGACUAGCAUCCUUGUGGUUAUUGUUGUUGUUAUUUGAGGUUGUUGCACCCUUUGGAGUAGUAUAAGUUUCUUGAAUUGGUCGUAGAAAAUUUCUUGGAGUACGGGCUGUAGUUCUAUUCAUCUGAUUUUCCACUUUCAUUGCUAAAUUGAUUGCAUCUGUCAUGGUCCAAAUCUCUUGAAGGGCCGGUCGAUCUUGAAUGACUAAUUUCAAGCCUCCUAUAUAACGAGCAAUUAAUUGAGCUUCAGUUUCAGACAAAUUAACUCGAGCAUUUAAUCGAUAGAAUUCCUCUGUAUAUUCAUUUACUGUCCUCUUAUUCUGUCGACAAUUCUGAUACUGCUAGUACAAAAAUUGUUCAUAAUCCAGAGGAAGGAAUCGCCUUUGCAACAAGCGUUUCAUCUUGGGCCAGGUUUGCACAAGUUGCUUUCCUUGUCUUUGACGAUUAAAUUGUAAUUCUUCCCACCAUGCAAAGGCUCCACCUUUUAAUUUGUACGCUACUUGUUUAACUUGACUUUGUUCCAAAAUAUUUAAAUAGUUGAAAAAAUUUUCAACAGUGUGGAUCCAAUCCAAAGAAUCUUCAAUAUUUAAUCGACCGUCAAAACUUGACAAGUCCAUCUUCAUCUUAAAUUUUUGAACAUUGG
RNAcentral lists this long non-coding RNA (1371 nucleotides) under Olea europaea subsp. europaea. Lineage: Eukaryota; Viridiplantae; Streptophyta; Magnoliopsida; Lamiales; Oleaceae. The record is from RNAcentral.